UACGAAGGCAGCAGUGGGGAAUAUUGCACAAUGGGCGCAAGCCUGAUGCAGCCAUGCCGCGUGUAUGAAGAAGGCCUUCGGGUUGUAAAGUACUUUCAGUCGUGAGGAAGGUGUUAAGGUUAAUAACCUUAGCAAUUGACGUUAGCGACAGAAGAAGCACCGGCUAACUCCGUGCCAGCAGCCGCGGUAAUACGGAGGGUGCGAGCGUUAAUCGGAAUUACUGGGCGUAAAGGGCACGCAGGCGGUUAAUUAAGUUGGAUGUGAAAUCCCCGGGCUUAACCUGGGAAUGGCAUUCAAGACUGGUUAGCUAGAGUCUUGUAGAGGGGGUAGAAUUCCAUGUGUAGCGGUGAAAUGCGUAGAGAUGUGGAGGAAUACCGGUGGCGAAGGCGGCCCCUGGACAAAGACUGACGCUCAUGUGCGAAAGCGUGGGGAGCAAACAGGGAUUAGAUACC
RNAcentral lists this ribosomal RNA (452 nucleotides) under uncultured bacterium. RNAcentral's name for it is "bacterial SSU rRNA". It matches the Rfam family "Bacterial small subunit ribosomal RNA", at positions 340 to 786 of the family's 1533-position model. The record is from RNAcentral.